Molecule: long non-coding RNA, 204 nt
Filed under: Cyanistes caeruleus (blue tit)
Lineage: Eukaryota; Metazoa; Chordata; Aves; Passeriformes; Paridae
Description: lncRNA (ENSCCEG00000000925.1)
Source: RNAcentral
UAGGGAUGAACAAGGGCUGAUUGCAACAGCUUAUCGAUAUUACAGCUAAAUCCACUAACCACCAAGAAAGAAGAAUGGAUCUUAGAAGUCUGUGAAGUGCUGGUAGCUGGAGGUGUCUGAGCAGAUGUGCUUCCUUAACGUUUGUGUAAAGGACAUGAAAAUCAACAGCAGGAAUGACAAUAAUUUGCUCUGAAACAGAUCCAA